This 451-nucleotide ribosomal RNA is filed under the name uncultured bacterium. RNAcentral's name for it is "partial 16S ribosomal RNA". It matches the Rfam family "Bacterial small subunit ribosomal RNA", at positions 354 to 796 of the family's 1533-position model. The record is from RNAcentral.
GUGGGGAAUAUUGGGCAAUGGGGGGAACCCUGAUCCAGCCAUGCCGCGUGUGUGAAGAAGGCCUUUUGGUUGUAAAGCACUUUAAGCGAGGAGGAGGCUACCGAGAUUAAUACUCUUGGAUAGUGGACGUUACUCGCAGAAUAAGCACCGGCUAACUCUGUGCCAGCAGCCGCGGUAAUACAGAGGGUGCGAGCGUUAAUCGGAUUUACUGGGCGUAAAGCGUGCGUAGGCGGCUUUUUAAGUCGGAUGUGAAAUCCCCGGGCUUAACUUGGGAAUUGCAUUCGAUACUGGGGAGCUAGAGUAUGGGAGAGGAUGGUAGAAUUCCAGGUGUAGCGGUGAAAUGCGUAGAGAUCUGGAGGAAUACCGAUGGCGAAGGCAGCCAUCUGGCCUAAUACUGACGCUGAGGUACGAAAGCAUGGGGAGCAAACAGGAUUAGAAACCCGAGUAGUCC